UACAGAGGUCUCAAGCGUUGUUCGGAUUCAUUGGGCGUAAAGGGUGCGUAGGCGGCUCGGUAAGUCGGGUGUGAAAUCUUGGAGCUUAACUCCGAAACUGCAUUCGAUACUGCCGUGCUUGAGGACUGGAGAGGAGACUGGAAUUUACGGUGUAGCGGUGAAAUGCGUAGAUAUCGUAAGGAAGACCAGUGGCGAAGGCGGGUCUCUGGACAGUUCCUGACGCUGAGGCACGAAGGUCAGGGGAGCAAACGGG
This 253-nucleotide ribosomal RNA is filed under the name uncultured bacterium. RNAcentral describes it as "partial 16S ribosomal RNA". It matches the Rfam family "Bacterial small subunit ribosomal RNA", at positions 524 to 776 of the family's 1533-position model. The record is from RNAcentral.